Molecule: RNase P RNA, 375 nt
Filed under: Salmonella enterica
Lineage: Bacteria; Pseudomonadati; Pseudomonadota; Gammaproteobacteria; Enterobacterales; Enterobacteriaceae
Description: RNase P RNA component class A
Rfam family: Bacterial RNase P class A
About the family: Ribonuclease P (RNase P) is a ubiquitous endoribonuclease, found in archaea, bacteria and eukarya as well as chloroplasts and mitochondria. Its best characterised activity is the generation of mature 5'-ends of tRNAs by cleaving the 5'-leader elements of precursor-tRNAs.
Source: RNAcentral
GAAGCUGACCAGACAGUCGCCGCUUCGUCGUCGUCCUUUCGGGGAGACGGGCGGAGGGGAGGAAAGUCCGGGCUCCAUAGGGCAGGGUGCCAGGUAACGCCUGGGGGGGAAACCCACGACCAGUGCAACAGAGAGCAAACCGCCGAUGGCCCACGUAAGUGGGAUCAGGUAAGGGUGAAAGGGUGCGGUAAGAGCGCACCGCGCGGCUGGUAACAGUCCGUGGCACGGUAAACUCCACCCGGAGCAAGGCCAAAUAGGGGUUCAUAAGGUACGGCCCGUACUGAACCCGGGUAGUCUGCUUGAGCCAGUGAGCGAUUGCUGGCCUAGAUGAAUGACUGUCCACGACAGAACCCGGCUUAUCGGUCAGUUUCACCU